Molecule: transfer RNA, 73 nt
Filed under: candidate division WOR-1 bacterium RIFOXYA12_FULL_43_27
Lineage: Bacteria; Bacillati
Also listed under: 3 other names
Description: tRNA-Lys
Rfam family: tRNA
About the family: Transfer RNA (tRNA) molecules are approximately 80 nucleotides in length. Their secondary structure includes four short double-helical elements and three loops (D, anti-codon, and T loops).
Source: RNAcentral
GACCGGCUAGCUCAGGUGGUAGAGCAUCUGCCUUUUAAGCAGGGGGUCCUGGGUUCGAAUCCCAGGCCGGUCA